CAUAUCAAUAAGCGGAGGAAAAGAAACCAACAGGGAUUGCCCUAGUAACGGCGAGUGAAGCGGCAACAGCUCAAAUUUGAAAUCUGGCGCAAGCCCGAGUUGUAAUUUGUAGAGGAUGUUUCUGGCGACGCGCCUUCCGAGUUCCCUGGAACGGGACGCCAUAGAGGGUGAGAGCCCCGUACGGUUGGAUGCCUAGCCUCUGUGAAACUCCUUCGACGAGUCGAGUAGUUUGGGAAUGCUGCUCUAAAUGGGAGGUAUACGUCUUCUAAAGCUAAAUACCGGCCAGAGACCGAUAGCGCACAAGUAGAGUGAUCGAAAGAUGAAAAGCACUUUGAAAAGAGGGUUAAAAAGUACGUGAAAUUGUUGAAAGGGAAGCGUUCAUGACCAGACUUGGGCAGGUUGAUCAUCCGUGGUUCUCCGCGGUGCACUCUGCCUGCCCAGGCCAGCAUCAGUUCGCCCCGGGGGAUAAAGGCUUUGGGAAUGUGGCUCCCUCGGGAGUGUUAUAGCCCACUGCGUAAUACCCUGGGGUGGACUGAGGUUCGCGCUCUGCAAGGAUGCUGGCGUAAUGGUCAUCAACGACCCGUCUUGAAACACGGACCAAGGAGUCGUCUUCGUAUGCGAGUGUUCGGGUGUCAAACCCCUACGCGUAAUGAAAGUGAACGUAGGAGAGAGCUUCGGCGCAUCUCCGACCGAUCCUGAUGUUCUCGGAUGGAUUUGAGUAAGAGCAUACGGGGCCGGACCCGAAAGAAGGUGAACUAUGCCUGUAUAGGGUGAAGCCAGAGGAAACUCUGGUGGAGGCUCGCAGCGGUUCUGACGUGCAAAUCGAUCGUCAAAUAUGGGCAUGGGGGCGAAAGACUAAUCG
This 862-nucleotide ribosomal RNA is filed under the name Clonostachys rosea. RNAcentral's name for it is "partial large subunit ribosomal RNA". It matches the Rfam family "Eukaryotic large subunit ribosomal RNA", at positions 39 to 937 of the family's 3401-position model. The record is from RNAcentral. Lineage: Eukaryota; Fungi; Ascomycota; Sordariomycetes; Hypocreales; Bionectriaceae.